Molecule: long non-coding RNA, 266 nt
Filed under: Eutrema salsugineum
Lineage: Eukaryota; Viridiplantae; Streptophyta; Magnoliopsida; Brassicales; Brassicaceae
Description: long non-coding RNA (ESAL_LNC000670)
Source: RNAcentral
GAUCUGAUGAGGAAAAAACGAUAAUAGUUUUUAGUUUCGUGCAAGUACUUAGGAUUUCAGUUUGUAUAUUACCCUCACGGAGAAGCAACCAACAAGACAUGCAAGAACACAACAGUAAAAGACAAGGCGCGUGAGCAUUCUGAUCACGCCACGUGUACCAUUGGAUAGAACCCAAAAUCUUGGAACACGUCACAUGGUUUUUGUCCACCUAUAUCCAUUUACACACAUUACUCAGACUCUGACGUGGCAAUCUUCCACAUCCUAAC